This 921-nucleotide ribosomal RNA is filed under the name Lactococcus garvieae. RNAcentral describes it as "bacterial SSU rRNA". It matches the Rfam family "Bacterial small subunit ribosomal RNA", at positions 524 to 1474 of the family's 1533-position model. The record is from RNAcentral. Lineage: Bacteria; Bacillati; Bacillota; Bacilli; Lactobacillales; Streptococcaceae.
UAGGUAGUUCCAAGCGUGUCGAUUAUGGCGUAAGCGAGCGCAGUGUUUUCUAGUCUGAUGUAAACGCAGUGCUCACCGAUGUGUGCAUGAAACUGGAGACUGAGUGCAGAGAGAGAGUGAUCCAUGUGUAGCGUGAAUGCGUAGAUAUAUGAGGAACACAGUAGGCGAAAGCGGCUCUCUGUCUGUAACUGACACUGAGGCUCGAAAGCGUGGGGAGCAAACAGGAUUAGAUACCCUUGGUAGUCCACCGCCGUAAACGAUGAGUGCUAGCUGUAGGGAGCUAUCAGUUCUCUGUAGCGCAGCUAACGCAUUAAGCACUCCGCCUGGGGAGUACGACCGCAAGGUUGAAACUCAAAGGAAUUGACGGGGGCCCGCACAAGCGGUGGAGCAUGUGGUUUAAUUCGAAGCAACGCGAAGAACCUUACCAGGUCUUGACAUACUCGUGCUAUCCUAAGAGAUAAGGAGUUCCUUCGGGACACGGGAUACAGGUGGUGCAUGGUUGUCGUCAGCUCGUGUCGUGAGAUGUUGGGUUAAGUCCCGCAACGAGCGCAACCCUUAUUACUAGUUGCCAUCAUUAAGUUGGGCACUCUAGUGAGACUGCCGGUGAUAAACCGGAGGAAGGUGGGGAUGACGUCAAAUCAUCAUGCCCCUUAUGACCUGGGCUACACACGUGCUACAAUGGAUGGUACAACGAGUCGCCAACCCGCGAGGGUGCGCUAAUCUCUUAAAACCAUUCUCAGUUCGGAUUGCAGGCUGCAACUCGCCUGCAUGAAGUCGGAAUCGCUAGUAAUCGCGGAUCAGCACGCCGCGGUGAAUACGUUCCCGGGCCUUGUACACACCGCCCGUCACACCACGGAAGUUGGGAGUACCCAAAGUAGGUUGCCUAACCGCAAGGAGGCGCUCCAUAGUAAAACCCAACCG